GACGAACGCUGGCGGCGUGCUUAACACAUGCAAGUCACGGGGGUCUCGGGGCGAACUCGGGAUAACCGGCGAACGGGUGCGUAACACGUAAGCGACCUGCCGAUUCGCGGGGGGAGUAGCCGGCCCAACGGCCGGGUAAUACCGCAUACGCUUGCUGGGUUUCAUGGCCGGGCAAGGAAACCUCCGGGGAACCGGGAGGGCGGAUCGAGGGGCUUGCGGCCUAUCAGCUAGUUGGUGAGGUAACAGCUCACCAAGGCGGNGACGGGUAGCUGGUCUGAGAGGAUGGCCAGCCACAUUGGGACUGAGAGACGGCCCAGACUCCUACGGGAGGCAGCAGUGGGGAAUCUUGCGCAAUGGGCGAAAGCCUGACGCAGCGACGCCGCGUGCGGGAUGAAGGCCUCGGUCGUAACC
Molecule: ribosomal RNA, 411 nt
Filed under: uncultured bacterium
Lineage: Bacteria
Description: bacterial SSU rRNA
Rfam family: Bacterial small subunit ribosomal RNA
Source: RNAcentral